This is a long non-coding RNA of Lathyrus oleraceus (garden pea), 1373 nucleotides long. RefSeq lists it as uncharacterized. The transcript has 2 exons. The record is from RefSeq and is a predicted model, not a curated record. NCBI's taxonomy places the organism in Eukaryota, Viridiplantae, Streptophyta, Magnoliopsida, Fabales, Fabaceae.
CAACCUAAUCAACCUAAUUAAAUCCUAAUUAAGCAAAUACCCUAAUUGAAGGUUGUUUCGUGCAAUCGAUGAAGAACCUGGAGGUUGGAGCUUGACAGUUCAGUUUGAAGAUGAAGGAGGAGAUUGAAGAUUAUUUAGGUGUGAGGUUGAAGAUGGAUAUUGAAAUUGGUUGUGAAUGGAGAAAAUGGAAGAAAGGUGUUGAAGAAGAUUGAAGAAAGUGAGGAAGAAUGAAGAUGAUGAAAUCCAAAAUGAUGGGGCAAGGUUGCUGGGAUUGAAUGGCUUGGAUUCGCCGAGUCGGACUUCGCUUCAUUUAAGCUGUUAUGCAGGGCUGUCCUCAGUGGUUUGGAAUUCUUGGUCCAGUUCACGGAAUUUUUGAGGUGGUUGAGGUUAGAUCGGGUAUGACAGUUGGGAUGUUAGUUUCGUAAUGAUAGUUAGAAUUCUGUUGGAGGUUUUGGGUGAAGUCAGGUUGGUCAUGAACUCAUUCCCUGGUUCUGUUAUCAGGUCGCAGGUUAUUAGUAGUUGGAGGUUUAGUUUUGUAGUGGAGUUUUGAAGUGUUGAUGAGAGGGUUUCUUUGAAGGGUUCAAGAACUUGGUUAGGGUGGUUAUGACAGUUGAAAAAUUUAGUUUUGAAUUAUCAUUUUCUUUCAUUUUGCUUAGCAAUUUAUGUUGGUCAUUUUUUAUGAUGCAUUCCGUUUGCUGCAGGUUUCAAACCGCUUUCGCUUGGCCACAUUUAAUGUUGGUUUGAUGCGGUAUUGGCAACAUGAAGGGAUUGAAUCCAAGGUCUGCUAAAUGACCUUCAUAUGCCCUUCCUUUGAAGAAACAUGAGUCGCCUGCAAAUCCACUAAAGGGCUUUAGCGGUUUCAACAGGACAUGGUCUUCUAGCACGGCGUGAAGAAGUGUGCAUCUGGAUUGUGUUCGAGCCGGCAUGGUACUGUAGGUGAGAUCCAAGCUGCCGGUUUUCGUAUACGUCCUACUGUUGUUUGUGGCCGGCUGCUGCGGUUUUGGUUGAAGCGGGGUUAAUAGUUUUACCUCCGGACUGCAAAUGUUUUAGUUAUGAACCUUGGUUAGUUGGUGUUAAUAGCCAAUUUUCUAUUCUGUCCAUGGUUUAUUAAUGGUACGGUGGUUUAGGCUUUAUAUCUUAAAGUUUGGCAUGCAUGCCAUUGUAACUUGUAUUUGGAUUAAAUAUUAUGGAGUGUGUGAAUCCUCAAGUAGUUUUCUUAGCUUAGACAUAUUAUGAUUAGCUAGACUGACACAUGUCAGUUGUGUUGUGAUUUACCUGCUGUAGCAGGUCAACUGGUUGUUACUAUAAAUACAACCAAUGACCACCUUUUGUAACUCACACUUCAGUUAAUCAAAAUCAAUUACAAUUGAGAA